AUUAACUCACACCCACCAACGCCCGGGUACUACGAGCCCCAGCUUAAAACCCAAAGGACUUGACGGUGUCCCACCCAUCUAGAGGAGCCUGUUCUAUAAUCGAUAAUCCCCGCUAAACCCAACCUCCCCUUGCCAAUCAGCCUGUAUACCUCCGUCGUAAGCUUACCAUAUGAAUGCUCUUAGUAAGCCCAACGAUCACAAAACACCAAUACGUCAGGUCAAGGUGCAGCUCAUGAGGAGGUAAGCAAUGGGCUACAAUUUCUAACCUAGAACAAACGAAACACUGUAUGAAACUCAGUCACGAAGGCGGAUUUAGUAGUAAAAGGAAAGUAGCGUGUUCUUUUUAACUAGGCCCUGGGACGUGUACACACCGCCCGUCGCCCUCUUCAAUAGUUACAUAAUAGAUAUAUAACAACUCUCUACGCCUUAGAAGAGGUAAGUCGUAACAUGGUAAGUGUACCGGAAGGUGUGCUUGGAUUAA
This 481-nucleotide ribosomal RNA is filed under the name Nanorana unculuanus. RNAcentral describes it as "partial 12S ribosomal RNA". It matches the Rfam family "Bacterial small subunit ribosomal RNA", at positions 848 to 1533 of the family's 1533-position model. Lineage: Eukaryota; Metazoa; Chordata; Amphibia; Anura; Dicroglossidae. The record is from RNAcentral.